This 894-nucleotide ribosomal RNA is filed under the name Gallinipes alaskaensis. Its description in RNAcentral is "eukaryotic LSU rRNA". It matches the Rfam family "Eukaryotic large subunit ribosomal RNA", at positions 107 to 916 of the family's 3401-position model. Lineage: Eukaryota; Fungi; Chytridiomycota; Chytridiomycetes; Spizellomycetales; Spizellomycetaceae. The record is from RNAcentral.
GCUCAAAUUUGAAAUCUCACAGGGUUACCUGUGCGAAUUGUAGUUUAGAGAAACGUUUUCGGGGGCGACUUGGUUAUAAGUCCUUUGGAAUGAGGCAUCAUAGAGGGUGAGAAUCCCGUUUAUGAUCCAAUGUUCGCUCCUAUGUGAUACGUUUUCCAAGAGUCAGGUAGUUUGGGAUUGCUGCCUAAAAUGGGUGGUAAAUACCAUCUAAAGCUAAAUAUUGGCGAGAGACCGAUAGCGAACAAGUACCGUGAGGGAAAGAUGAAAAGAACUUUGAAAAGAGAGUUAAACAGUACGUGAAAUUGCCAAAAGGGAAACGCUUGGAACCAGUAUUGCCUCCAGGUAAUCAGCCGCACGUCCCGAAAGGGGUGCGUGUGGUGCACUUGCCUGUAGGCCGGCCAACAUCAGUUUGGUUUGGGGUAAAAAGCCGGAGGAAGGUAGCUUGGGCUUCGGCCUGAGUGUUAUAGCCUCCGGUAAUGCCUUGGACUGGACUGAGGACUGCAGCGUUAUUUGGAUACCCGAUCGCCUCCUGAACCUAUUCCGUAGACAGCAUGCUGACUAUGUAGAAGUCUAGGGAGCCCGGUCGGUUUGUCACACCAGCGCUUAGGAUGUUGGCGAAAUGGUUCCAAACGACCCGUCUUGAAACACGGACCAAGGAGUCUAACAUAUAUGCGAGUAUUUGGGUGGCAAACCCUUAUGCGAAAUGAAAGUAAACUUAGGUGGGAUCUUCGGUGCACCAUCGACCGGUCUGGAUUUUUUUGAUAGAUCUGAGUAAGAGCAUAUCUGUUGGGACCCGAAAGAUGGUGAACUAUGCCUGAAUAGGGUGAAGCCAGAGGAAACUCUGGUGGAGGCUCGUAGCGAUUCUGACGUGCAAAUCGAUCGUCAAAUUUGGGU